GUGCCUCAUGCACCACAUCAUGUUAAGAUGGUGCUGAUUAUAGUCGAAUAAAGUGAAUGAGUCAAAGAAUUUUUGGAGGAGCUGUUAGAGCUAAGUCUUUCAAAGUUUUCGGAAGAUCUAUAGAACUAUAAAACUUAAAAGUCCUCUUGAUUUAUUUCUGUGUCAUUACAGAAUUGUCAUUGUGCAAUCUAGAGAAGGGAUCAGAUUUCCUGAGACUUAGACAACUGGUAGAUUUUGAAAGUCUCUGUCCACUGUCAGCCCAGUAGCCCUUUUACAUUACUUUGGAGUAAUAAUUUGAUGAGAUUAAUAGCAAUGAAAAAUAUUUUGUUCCUGCCAUUAAUAUAUUAGGUACCAUGUGAAUGAAAUAUGGACCAUGACCUUUGGGAAAUUAACGUAAAAAACCCUUAGGGCCCAAAAGAUACUUUUUUGUAAUUUUAAAAUUGUACCGUGUAUAGGAAUACAGUAACCUAAAAUUAAUAUUCUAUGUUUAAUUUUAAUAAGGUACAGUGAUGAUCUAUAAAGGCUUUCUAUGACUUGCAAACCAAGAGAAGAAUUAUCUAGUACAUUGAUCACAGCACAGAUUGGGAAUUGCAAAGUAAAUAAUCUCCCUUAUACGUAAGCUGGUGACAAGAUGGAAUUUCAGUCAUCUUGGUUCUUGAUUGGACAUAGAGAUAUACAGGCCUGAUAGCACAAUGGAUGUUUUUGUUCCAGGCCACCUUUUCCUCUUUGUUUAUGGGACACUAAAUGCUUAAUUACAUGUUUAAGAGGUAAGUAAGGCAAACAAGGUUAAGUCCUUU
RNAcentral lists this long non-coding RNA (797 nucleotides) under Sus scrofa (pig). Its description in RNAcentral is "lncRNA (ENSSSCG00005023500.1)". The record is from RNAcentral. Lineage: Eukaryota; Metazoa; Chordata; Mammalia; Artiodactyla; Suidae.